GAUAAGUUUUUACAGUAUUAAUUGUUUUACAUAAAACUUUGUAUCAUUAAAUUUUUAAAAAUUUAUUUAAGUUGUUAAAUUAAACUAUUUUCCCAUGUUAUAAAAAUAUGUUGUAUGUUAAUCUGUCUAUCCGAUCAUCAUAUCUAUAGCAUCAUCCACAGAAGAACUUCCAAGAAAGCUACCUGUCUAUAUGAGGUUAGGAGUUUCUGUAAAGAAUGUACAUAAGAAAUCAAAGAGAGAGAGUAGUUCUUCGCCAUCUGAAGAUCAGCAUCACAAAGAGAAGAGAAUUAAAAUCAUUAAAUGUUCAACUUCGGAUUGCGAAAAACAGAGGAAAGUCACCUUCUCCCGUUCUGAUGAUGAAAGAUGCUACAACAAACAUCACAAAGAAAAUUCUAUUAUAGAACACAAGAAAAGAUCUACAGAAAAGAAAUCAGGGAAAAAAGAAAAAAGAUCUCACUUACACAGGAAACGGU
Molecule: long non-coding RNA, 473 nt
Filed under: Androctonus crassicauda
Lineage: Eukaryota; Metazoa; Arthropoda; Arachnida; Scorpiones; Buthidae
Source: RNAcentral